RNAcentral lists this unclassified non-coding RNA (419 nucleotides) under soil metagenome. RNAcentral's name for it is "partial contains 5.8S ribosomal RNA, internal transcribed spacer 2, and large subunit ribosomal RNA". The stretch from base 1 to 120 matches the Rfam family "5.8S ribosomal RNA", at positions 35 to 154 of the family's 154-position model. The record is from RNAcentral.
GAUGAAGAACGCAGCGAAAUGCGAUAAGUAAUGUGAAUUGCAGAAUUCAGUGAAUCAUCGAAUCUUUGAACGCAUCUUGCGCUCCUUGGUAUUCCUUGGAGCAUGCCUGUUUGAGUAUCAUGAGCAAAUCUCAAAGUCAAUUCCUUUUGUUAAUUCAAUUGGUUUUGCUUUGGACUUGGAGGUCUUGCAGAUUUCACAGUCUGCUCCUCUUAAAUGCAUUAGCUGGAUCUCAGUAAUUAUGCUUGGUUCCACUCGGCGUGAUAAGUAUCACUCGCUGAGGACACUGUUAAAAAGGUGGCCAGGAAAAUACUGAUUGAACCGCUUCUAACGGUCUAUUAAGUUAGACAAUUGACCCUUAAGUUUGAUCUCAAAUCAGGUAGGACUACCCGCUGAACUUAAGCAUAUCAAUAAGCGGAGGA